UAUCCCACCCCCAGGCCUGCUUUCUCCACAGGGAUGARGGCAGGACAGUGAUGGAUACUCUCCUGGUGGGUUGUCACUCGUCAUGCUGGCCUGGAGGUGUGACUGCAUGGACCACAGGCUGGACCACAAGGUUGGUCACGCAGGAUGUGAGUCACUUGAAGGAUUUGUGCUGUCCUGACAUGGAACAAACAGGGAUAGUGAGUCAGGAGUGGCCUGGGCAUGCCAUGGUGGAGCACCAGAAAUAGCCUCAGGCUCCAUGGAGGGGCUGCUAACGUGGGGACAACAGGAAUUUCAGGAUCCUGACAAUGUGGAAGGGGGUGGCAGAGCUCCAGAUGGGGUUCCCCRUGGUACGAGGUGGAGCAGACUUUGAACCUGUGCUGCUUUUAGAGCUGAAAUGUUUCCCUGUCUGUCUGCUGGCCCAGCAACACCCUUGCUGCACUGAGGAGCCUCCGACUGUGAUCCAUGCUCAGAGAAYCUGCCAGGGCCCAGAGCAAGAUUAAUGUGUCUGGGAAUUUCCUGGCUGGCUCAGUAUUACUGGUAAGAUUUUUUUUUUUUUUUCAUUUUUCUCCAUUCAGAAGAAUAAGUUUUUUCAAGACCUUUCUGUGACUGUGCCAUCCUCAGAACGGGAAUAUGGAAAAUGUCAAGUGCAAUACAAGAACCCUUAAUGCUGAUAAAACUGUUCUGAUUGGAAAUAAAGUUUUGCUUUAAAAGUUUUGACCUGUUUUAGGUAAGAUACUGGAAUUAUGGGACUGACUUUAAAAACUCCAAAUUUAGAAAGAAAAGCUGUUUUCUGGGUUUAAACCCAUUCAUUGCUCUGAUAUGRGGCAUUUUCAAGGUUACCUUUGCAGUCACAGGAGACAGAAUACUUUUCCCAUGCUGAGACAUGGAAGCAAUAAUGGAUACAGUCCUGGGAAAUGCCACAGGARCUCUUGGGAGCUGUGGCAGUGUGGUUUUGUUUAUAUUUACAAAUUAGUUGGAGUGGUUCUUGGCACUUGUUUGCAUUUAGCUUAAGAAUAAUCAAUACUGUCCAAAUGGCUUCCUAAUAACAACAACCCACAGCCACUGUCAGAUCUAAAUCCCAAUAUUACACUGCAAAGUAGCUGGAGAAUUUGCUAUUGCCUUAAAUAAAAAUGACAUUUUCCCAAACCAAGCUGUAAUCAGUGAGAAUUGUUGAUUUUCAAGACUUUUAAAACUGAGCCAAUAAAACAUGCUGUAUGUUACCUUAUCUACACUUCAWGCAUCACAAAAAGCAUUGACAUCUCUCAAACAGAAUGAUUGUUUUUUUUAAACACAGUGAAAUGAGAAUGUAUCCCUGCAAAUUUUGCAUUUGGAAAAGAAUGAUUUCUUGAAUMAGAAUAUUGUAAAACCAAUCAGAGAGAAAAGUGCUGCUAGGAGGAGGAUGUUGCAUAAGGUGUCUGAGAUAAAGGUUUUACUGUUUUUCAUGUUCUCAUAAAAUUUUACUGAAAUGGARGAUUUUCUCUUUAAAUGUUCAUUGUUAUGCACAUGCUUUGCAGAGAUAAUAGCUACCUUUGCCUAAUCCUCACGGGCUGAUUUGAAUACAGAAUUUGGAUCAUUCUCCAGUUUCUUUGAACCUGGGGGAGGAAUAUCAGUGUUAGUUCCAAAAGAGUUGGUGAGUUUUAAGUUUCCCCAGACAUCAGAGAGAUUUUAGUCCAUGACUGAAAUCGACUACAAUAUUUAUCUAUUGGCUUUAAUUUUUAAACAUCCUCCAGGAUCAGAACGUGAUUUGGUUUUCAAAACAAUUUGAAUUUUUCAAUCUCAAUUUAAAUUUUUUUUUUUAAAUGCAAGAUUUUUUCUUUCUUUCAGCACAACUUAUAAAUGUACUUAGCAUGUGUGAGCACCUUCUGUAGCGAAUGGGAAAUUUUUUUUUAAGGCUGAUUUUUACAGUAACACAUUCUGUGCUGGAGAAUUUGCUCUGCUGGGUUCAGGGAGCUGUACAACCCAACAAACUAGUGUUGUAAGGAGGUACCAAAAGGGUGCUUUGUCACAUUACAGGUGUCAGAGUUCAGUCCUCAUACUGAACGAGUAUUUUGAUUAUCUAAAGUGGAGUCAAGAUGCAGUUAUUCAGCAAACUGGUCAUCCCACAGACAGUUCUGCCUGCUGCCCUGCUGCUCUGUGUGAAGCUCAUAUCCCCAGCCUCUCACUGUCUGGAACCUGAGGAAAAUGUCUUUUACACACUCUGGGAAGACACUCCAUGCUUUGUUUUCCCUCCCAAAAAGGUAAUAUGCCUUCACUCCAUCAUAUCCUUGCUAGGAGCUCAAGCUGUGCCUCAGCACUUUUUCACAGAGAACUCUCACCUUGAUUGCUUCAUGUUAAUUCAACAAUUUAGGGCUUUGCUUAUUUUAAUAGUUCAGACUAACAACACUGAUCUCUUCUAUGCUGUAAAGCAGAAAUAGAGUUUCCAGUUUCUGUGGGCACUGGUCAAUGCUCUGUGCAGAAUAUCCCUGUGUGGAAAAGCUGCUGAAGGCUUUUCCCUGGAAUAGAACCACCUCACUCCCAGCUCCUACAGCUCUCAUUUCAUGCAGAUGUAACUGCAGGGGUACUGAGAUAAUGGUUUCUGGCUUGUUCCAAGGUGCUGGGAAAACCCAGCCUUUCAGUCUGAAAUUAGASAAAGGGAAGAUCUCUCUCUGGAUACCUUCAGCUGCCAUCAGCAGGACAUAAACUCGGCUGUGCUUUUGAUGCUGGAUGGGAGAAGAUGUGCUCUGAGGGGAUUUGGGAGGACACUGUGGACCCCAAAGUGGGAGACAAAACAAUCCCUCUCUGAGCCUGAAUCCAAGGGCACCUCGCUGCCUCAGAGCCCCAAAAUAUGGAAACAACAGAGAAUUGGGGGGGGGAAGCAAGUUUGGGGUGGUUGACAUCAUCACCUGAAGAUUAUUGGAGAAUUGAGGCCCAGUAUGUUAAUAGGACAGAACUUAUAAAAGGAGCUUUAGAAGGCACCUGCAGUGAACUAGAAGAGGAUAUGCCUUAAAAUAUGUGUGAGGCUGUUCCAUGARCCCCUGUUGUAACGUCUUGGGUAACUUCUAAGAACCUGAUCUGUGUGAUGGUGCUGCAUUUGCACUGCUGUGGUAGGACCAAACCUUGUUCAUCAGGAGAUGUGAAGAGGUUUGGAAGGAGCUCCAGGAACAUUUGGAGCAUCCAGAACACACAGAUUCAGGUGAAGAAUGGUGGUGCUUACAGUCUCAUGGAUCAAAAUGUCACUGGUGAGGCAGAAAUGCCACACUUAUGGUUUGUUUGUGUGGUUUGAUAUUCAUGUUUGAAGGAARGCUAAUUCCAUUUGAGCUUUGCACAAGCCCACAAAGGCUUUAGGGAGGUGUUUAUGGUCCCCCCGGGGGUGAGCCAGCCCAGCCUGUCUCUGUCACAGCUUUAUCUGUGCUUUCCCUCAGAUGCUCCAUCAAUAAAAACAUAGGAACCCUUCCUUUGCUGCAGUGUGGGUGUCCUGAGUCAGCUCUCCCUGUGGGUGCCUGCCUGUGAYGUUUUCUUACCCUCACAGCAUU
Long non-coding RNA from Malurus melanocephalus (red-backed fairy wren), 3512 nucleotides. RefSeq lists it as uncharacterized. The record is from RefSeq and is a predicted model, not a curated record. The transcript has 7 exons. Lineage: Eukaryota; Metazoa; Chordata; Aves; Passeriformes; Maluridae.